Long non-coding RNA from Bacillus rossius redtenbacheri, 1476 nucleotides. RefSeq lists it as uncharacterized. NCBI's taxonomy places the organism in Eukaryota, Metazoa, Arthropoda, Insecta, Phasmatodea, Bacillidae. The record is from RefSeq and is a predicted model, not a curated record. The transcript has 2 exons.
CGCCCGCCACGCGCCGCUCCCGCUGACUCACCGGGCCGCAGUCUGCCGCCGGCCGCCGCGCGGAGCGCACGCGCCGUCCCAGCACCCGCCCGCCCGCCCGCCCGGCCUCAUAAGCUGAGGAUGUAGCCCACCCACUCUCAACGAUGCCACGGAACAACCAACCAGGGACCUCUACAGACAUCAGAGAUGAAACCUCAAGCAAGUGAAGAUGAUGCUGCAAUCAGCUGCUAGUAACAAGAAGACUUAUCAGCAAUCACCACCUCCAUAUCUGCUUGCAAAGAAAGUGAAGACAGGACAGCACAGACAAAUGAAAAUGCCACAUCAUAAAGACAACAGCAGCGCAGACCAUUCACCAUCUAGUCAGGACCAUAGCUUUACCUUAAAAGUGAAGCUUUAUUGUAAGAGUGUAACACAGUGUAAACCUGACCAUAUUAGUUGCACAGAACUGGUAUGAGUCACAGUACUUUUAUGAAACGAGGUGAAACUCAUUAUUCAAACAAUUACGUAGGGAAAAAAAAAUUGCAUUCAACAGAUUUAUUGUUCUUUGAAUUAUUUCCCCUCCGAUCAUUCCCAACUUCCUCUCCACAGUUUCAACCAACAUUUCUUGCUGAGUUUCAUAACAAAGGUAAGUCUUAAAAGUAUACCAGUUGGUUUGUGUUCAAAUGAAUAAUUCUUAAGAACUACUGUAAGCCCUUGCAUAUACCACUGGCAUGGACCCCGAUACUAUGUAACUUGUAUUCACACGUCGAUCACAAGGCACUUGAAAAUUGCUGGCUAAUCAUAAAUAUUUAUCAUGGCAAUUUUUAUUCUGAUUUACAUUUAAAAAAAAAUAGUUUCAGUGCAGGCAAAGAUCCGAGGGGUGGACGACAGGACCUACCAGACGAAUAUGAAGAGAGAGUGAUUUACAGGUGGUGUUGGUAUUUUAAACAUAAUUUUUCGCACCAAAAUAGGUUUCUUAUAAGUAGAAAAAAAACUUCAACUAGUCAAUAUUUUCUCAUUUCCCUUGGAACAACUGUAUCACAAAAGUUCAAUGAACAUAAUUCAUCUCUGAUCCAGCCAUGCCUUAAAAUGGCUUCUAGAGCCAUAAUUGCAUGGUGCAUUUCUGCACCUAUGGUAAUUGUCAUUUCUGACUCCUCUAUGAGUCCUGCAUAAGUACCAUAGUUUAAAAAUGUAUUUUAGAAACACCCUGUGUCUUCGUACAGAAACACAAAAUAUUUUUUUUUCUUAAGGUUGAUUUCUAAAUUUAUUUUGUGAAAAGAAUUAAGAUAGUAAAAUUUUGUUACUUUUUAUUGGUGUCAUGUAAAAUAAUUGACAUCACAUUACCACUGUUUUAUUUAGUUACUUAUUGUCAUAAAAGCCAGAAAAUGAUGGUAAGGUAGACCAAAUACUAAGUAAUCCCUAUAUUUUUCUUUGGGGGGCAACGAAGGUCUGAAAACUGCCCAGUUUUCAUUUAAUGCACAAAUAAACGUAAAUUAU